Acinonyx jubatus (cheetah) is the source of this 826-nucleotide long non-coding RNA. RefSeq lists it as uncharacterized. The record is from RefSeq and is a predicted model, not a curated record. Lineage: Eukaryota; Metazoa; Chordata; Mammalia; Carnivora; Felidae. The transcript has 3 exons.
AAAGCUCCAGGACAGGCAAAUAGGCCUCUGUCUCAGAAAGACUAGGUGUCUGCUCCAAUAUGUUAUCAACGCAGGGCCCUGGAGUUGGUAGGCUACCAAGAACGUUCGCGCUCAUGGCUGUGGUCUCGCGAGACCCAGGAACACACGCUCCCCUGCCCUCCCGAGCCGGGAGGUCACCGCGUAGCAGUAGCGGAACGCCGGCCAACGGACAUGUGUAAAAGCAGUGCUCUGGGAGAUGCACACGCUUUGGUAUGUGGUAGAGGAAACGUGUAUUUCUUUUUCUGUGAAAAAGAAAGAAAGAAAAAAACCCUAGCAUUAAAUUAGGGGGACAAAAAUGGCGCCUGUUAGCUGAAGUGAGGCCGAGAGAGGGAGAGCUGGAGAUGGUGGCUGCCAGCCAGCAGCCUCUGCGUGUGUCUAGAUUACAUGCCUGACCCUCAGGCUGCGACUUGAAGAUCAGUAAAUGGCGCCCAUAGGGCCACAAAGUUGGGAGCUUCUGGAUUGGCUGCUUCUGCGCUUGAACCCUGGGGCGGGUAAGAGGCUUUUCAUGGUACUUGACAUGCAGUCAUGGAUUGGCACAACAGAGCUAUUCCUUGAAGUAGGUGGCAAGCAUCCAGCUCUGGGCCACCACAGCAGCUCCACCCCCUGGUCCAGAUAGACCUUGUUCUGCUUCACUUAACUGUUUGGCAAGUGAGUUAUUCAGAAAAGGAAAGGAACAGGCAGAAGAGGAAGACCCCUUGCACCAUUUUAGGAUAUCUACUUUCUUUGCUUGGUUCAGUUGUCUACAGCUGCAAAUGUAAAGGAAAAAUCUAAAAUAUUUACACUGCAG